This 201-nucleotide ribosomal RNA is filed under the name uncultured bacterium. Its description in RNAcentral is "partial 16S ribosomal RNA". It matches the Rfam family "Bacterial small subunit ribosomal RNA", at positions 1301 to 1500 of the family's 1533-position model. The record is from RNAcentral.
CAGUCUGCAACUCGACUGCAUGAAGCUGGAAUCGCUAGUAAUCGCGAAUCAGCAUGUCGCGGUGAAUACGUUCCCGGGUCUUGUACACACCGCCCGUCACACCAUGGGAGUCGGAAAUGCCCGAAGCCGGUGACCCAACCUUUAAGGAGGGAGCUGUCGAAGGCAGGUCUGGUAACUGGGGUGAAGUCGUAACAAGGUAGC